Molecule: ribosomal RNA, 1700 nt
Filed under: Meloidogyne incognita (southern root-knot nematode)
Lineage: Eukaryota; Metazoa; Nematoda; Chromadorea; Rhabditida; Meloidogynidae
Description: SSU rRNA
Rfam family: Eukaryotic small subunit ribosomal RNA
Source: RNAcentral
UCUGGUUGAUCCUGCCUGAACUGAUGUGUUCAUUUCAAAGAUUAAGCCAUGCAUGUAUAAGUUUAAUCGUUUUAACGAGAAACCGCGAACGGCUCAUUACAAUGGCCAUGAUUUACUUGAUCUUGAUUAUCUAAAUGGAUAACUGUGGAAAAGCUAGAGCUAAUACAUGCACCAAAGCUUUGUCCUCUCGGAAAAGCGCAUUUAUUAGAACAAAACCACGCGGCUUCGGCUGCUUCUUGUUGACUCAGAAUAACUAAGCUGACCGCAUGGCCUUGUGCCGGCGGCGUGUCUUUCAAGCGUCCACUUUAUCAACUUGACGGGAGCAUAAUCGACUCCCGUGGUGGUGACGGAUAACGGAGGAUCAGGGUUCGACUCCGGAGAAGGGGCCUGAGAAAUGGCCACUACGUCUAAGGAUGGCAGCAGGCGCGCAAAUUACCCACUCUCGGCUCGAGGAGGUAGUGACGAGAAAUAACGAGAUCGUUCUCUUUGAGGCCGGUCAUCGGAAUGGGUACAAUUUAAACCCUUUAACGAGUAUCAAGCAGAGGGCAAGUCUGGUGCCAGCAGCCUGGAACCCUCCGGGUGUUUCUGGGUGUUAUCGAUUUAUCGUAAUGUUCGGUUUUGAGUCCUUAACAGGAUUCUUAACAGGCAUUGCAAGUUUACUUUGAACAAAUCAGAGUGCUUCAAACAGGCGUUCUCGCUUGAAUGAUCGUGCAUGGAAUAAUAGAAAACGAUUUCGGUUCAGUUUUAUUGGUUUUACGGACUGAGAUAAUGGUUAACAGAGACAAACGGGGGCAUUUGUAUGGCCCCGUGAGAGGUGAAAUUCUUGGACCGUGGCCAGACAAACUACAGCGAAAGCAUUUGCCAAGAAUGUCUUCAUUAAUCAAGAACGAAAGUCAGAGGUUCGAAGGCGAUCAGAUACCGCCCUAGUUCUGACCGUAAACGAUGCCAACUAGCGAUCCGCCGAUGGAAAUUAUAUUGCCUUGGUGGGGAGCUUCCCGGAAACGAAAGUCUUCCGGUUCCGGGGGAAGUAUGGUUGCAAAGCUGAAACUUAAAGGAAUUGACGGAAGGGCACCACCAGGAGUGGAGCCUGCGGCUUAAUUUGACUCAACACGGGGAAACUCACCCGGCCCGGACACUGUGAGGAUUGACAGAUUGAUAGCUUUUUCAUGAUUCAGUGGAUGGUGGUGCAUGGCCGUUCUUAGUUCGUGGAGUGAUUUGUCUGGUUUAUUCCGAUAACGAGCGAGACUCUAACCUACUAAAUAGCUGGUACAUACUCUUAGUGUAUACAGCUUCUUAGAGGGAUUUGCGGUGUUCAGCCGAAAGAAAUUGAGCAAUAACAGGUCUGUGAUGCCCUUAGAUGUCCGGGGCUGCACGCGCGCUACACUGGCAAAAUCAACGUGCUUGUCCUACCUCGAAAGGGGCGGGUAAACCAUUGAAAAUUUGCCGUGAUUGGGAUCGGAAAUUGCAAUUAUUUUCCGUGAACGAGGAAUUCCAAGUAAGUGCGAGUCAUCAGCUCGCGUUGAUUACGUCCCUGCCCUUUGUACACACCGCCCGUCGCUGCCCGGGACUGAGCCAUUUCGAGAAAUUUGGGGACCGUUGAUUUAAUUUUUCUAAAUUACUUUGAUGGAAACCAAUUUAAUCGCAGUGGCUUGAACCGGGCAAAAGUCGUAACAAGGUAGCUGUAGGUGAACCUGCUGCUG